GCAACGCGAAGAACCUUACCUGGUCUUGACACUCCCGGGAGACCCUUAGGAAACUAGGGGUGCUUCCAUCUGGAAGAAUCUGGAGACAGGUGCUGCAUGGCUGUCGUCAGCUCGUGUCGUGAGAUGUUGGGUUAAGUCCCGCAACGAGCGCAACCCUUGCCUUUAGUUGCCAGCAGUUCGGCUGGGCACUCUAAAGGGACUGCCGGUGUUAAACCGGAGGAAGGUGGGGAUGACGUCAAGUCCUCAUGGCCCUUACGCCUAGGGCUACACACGUACUACAAUGGCGCAUACAAAGGGCAGCGAUACCGCGAGGUGGAGCCAAUCCCAAAAAGUGCGUCCCAGUCCGGAUUGCAGUCUGCAACUCGACUGCAUGAAGUUGGAAUCGCUAGUAAUUCGAGAUCAGCAUGCUCGGGUGAAUGCGUUCCCGGGCCUU
RNAcentral lists this ribosomal RNA (433 nucleotides) under uncultured Desulfobulbus sp. Its description in RNAcentral is "bacterial SSU rRNA". It matches the Rfam family "Bacterial small subunit ribosomal RNA", at positions 956 to 1382 of the family's 1533-position model. The record is from RNAcentral. Lineage: Bacteria; Pseudomonadati; Thermodesulfobacteriota; Desulfobulbia; Desulfobulbales; Desulfobulbaceae.